Molecule: ribosomal RNA, 814 nt
Filed under: uncultured Staphylococcus sp.
Lineage: Bacteria; Bacillati; Bacillota; Bacilli; Caryophanales; Staphylococcaceae
Description: bacterial SSU rRNA
Rfam family: Bacterial small subunit ribosomal RNA
Source: RNAcentral
CGGCGGACGGGUGAGUAACACGUGGGUAACCUACCUAUAAGUCUGGGACAACUUCGGGAAACCGGAGCUAAUACCGGAUAAUAUGUUGAACCGCAUGGUUCAAUAGUGAAAGAUGGUUUUGCUAUCACUUAUAGAUGGACCCGCGCCGUAUUAGCUAGUUGGUGAGGUAACGGCUCACCAAGGCAACGAUACGUAGCCGACCUGAGAGGGUGAUCGGCCACACUGGAACUGAGACACGGUCCAGACUCCUACGGGAGGCAGCAGUAGGGAAUCUUCCGCAAUGGGCGAAAGCCUGACGGAGCAACGCCGCGUGAGUGAUGAAGGUCUUAGGAUCGUAAAACUCUGUUAUUAGGGAAGAACAAACGUGUAAGUAACUGUGCACGUCUUGACGGUACCUAAUCAGAAAGCCACGGCUAACUACGUGCCAGCAGCCGCGGUAAUACGUAGGUGGCAAGCGUUAUCCGGAAUUAUUGGGCGUAAAGCGCGCGUAGGCGGUUUUUUAAGUCUGAUGUGAAAGCCCACGGCUCAACCGUGGAGGGUCAUUGGAAACUGGAAAACUUGAGUGCAGAAGAGGAAAGUGGAAUUCCAUGUGUAGCGGUGAAAUGCGCAGAGAUAUGGAGGAACACCAGUGGCGAAGGCGACUUUCUGGUCUGUAACUGACGCUGAUGUGCGAAAGCGUGGGGAUCAAACAGGAUUAGAUACCCUGGUAGUCCACGCCGUAAACGAUGAGUGCUAAGUGUUAGGGGGUUUCCGCCCCUUAGUGCUGCAGCUAACGCAUUAAGCACUCCGCCUGGGGAGUACGACCGCAAGGUUG